Long non-coding RNA from Gossypium arboreum, 1375 nucleotides. RefSeq lists it as uncharacterized. The record is from RefSeq and is a predicted model, not a curated record. NCBI's taxonomy places the organism in Eukaryota, Viridiplantae, Streptophyta, Magnoliopsida, Malvales, Malvaceae. The transcript is spliced from 3 exons.
UUAAAUAAAAAUAUAAAUCACUUUCCAACCCCUAAAACUCUCAUGAAAUUGAGAGUGCAUUUACGCUGUGUUUGUUUACCUGUAAAAUAUUUUACAGAAAACAUUUUCAUUCUUUUCCGCUGUUUGUUUGGUGGAAAAUGACUUCCUAUUGUAAAAUCAUUUCAAAAACACAGGAAAAAAAGCCCUUUAUUUUAGGAAAACGUCUUACCAUUUUCAUUUGGUAAGACAUUUUCCAAAAAUUUUCUCCUCACCUGCAAACGAAUCCCCUUCAUUCCCACCCCGAUUUAAUGCUUGCCGCCAACCAACAACAGUUUUCAGCACCAAUCGCUGGUGUGGAUCUUUGAUUUACCCCUUUUCACCUUUCGUUGUCAAAAUCUGCACUGCACCAGUUGGCGAUGGCAUUCAUCUUCAUCUCUCGAAGGCACUUGUAAAUAUGAUAAGCAACCCUGUCAGUUCAACUGUUCCAAUUGCAGCUGAGGUUUUCAAGAAGGCAAGGACAUAUGAUGAAAAAAAGCUGUUUGGCGUCACUACCCUUGAUGUAAUUAGGGCUAAGACUUUCUACGCUGAGAAGGAAAAAGUAAACGUUGCAGGAUCGUGAGCCUUGUUCCACCAUUGAAGCUUGAAGCACCCAAAGGAAAGGCACCAUUGUAGAUUCAAGAACCAGCAACACCUUACAAUGCAAGGCCUUGGACCAUGCAGAUUCAUUAGGUCUUGUACUAAUCAAAGUAGCAGAACAAGGACCUUGAUUAACUAGUUGGUCAAUGCAUUGAUGAGUCUCCAACAUCCACAUUUAGAAACUAGAAUCCAUGCUGUCAAAAUCUAUGGUCCAAAAGUAAUGUUUGAUCGAGGUCCAACAGUGGCUUUCAAUGUAUUUGAUUGGAAAGGGGAAAGGAUUGAUCCUGCAUUAGUGCAAAAACUGACUAAUAGGAACAAUAUUUCGUUGUGCAUUGGGUGUUUACAACACAUUUGGUUCAGUGUUAAACAUAAAUAAAUGAAGGAAAAAGAUGAGUUUCAGCCUGGGAUAGAUGUUACUGCUACAAUUGGGUUCCUUACUAGUCUUGAAGACAUUUAUAAGCUUUGGGUAUUUGUUUCAAGGUUCUUGGAUGCUGAUUUUUUAGAGAAAGAGAAAUGAAGAUAUAAAGCUAUUAAUCAAAAAACAAUUGAAAUUUAGUCCAAGAACUUGUUAAUUCUUUCCUUCUUUGUAUAUUAUUGUCUGGUAUGAACUUUAUUUGUAUAUUAUUGUCUGGUAUGAACUUUAGUCCAAAAAUUAUGAUCAGGUAUCAAAAUUUGUAAUAUUAAUUGUGGUUUAUCUGAAAAAGUGUAAAUAGACUUUGGUUGUUUUUAAUUUAUGACGGUUAAUAUUUUAGCUUAAUAA